AAUAUGUCCAAUAAAUUAUAUAUUUUUAUAUAUUUUUUCUCUGAAUUAAUUUUACCACUACAUAUCAUACACACUAAGGGCUAUUUACAAGUUGCUCUGUUGCGUAGAGGACCUUCAAUUCUGAUUUACCUAAAGUCCACGUGCACUAUUUACUGACAGUGUUUGACCCCAGCCCAUGUUUGAUUCCAAAGGUAAGCUACUUCCAAAAGACCCACAAGCGUGUGAAGUUCUCUACCCUAGAAGAUCCCUAGAAUUACCUUAGAAUCCAGUCUACAUUCUUGUGAAUCAUGAAGUCCUUGGCUCUAGCUUUAAUCCUGUGUGUGCUGCUUCCACUGUUCCAUGCUUCUUGUUACACGAAGCCUAUGACCUUGAAGCCAGGCAUCAUUACCCAUUGCCGUGAUGACAAGGACAAGACAUGGCAUCCUAUUGGUUCCCACUGGAGGAACAGUGACUGCA
This is a long non-coding RNA of Salmo salar (Atlantic salmon), 456 nucleotides long. RefSeq lists it as uncharacterized. NCBI's taxonomy places the organism in Eukaryota, Metazoa, Chordata, Actinopteri, Salmoniformes, Salmonidae. The record is from RefSeq and is a predicted model, not a curated record.